UGAGCUAUCUCCCCGGCCCAAAAGUUCUUUUAGGGGCCGGGGAGAUGGCUCAG
RNAcentral lists this microRNA precursor (53 nucleotides) under Octodon degus (degu). RNAcentral's name for it is "miRNA (ENSODEG00000022190.1)". Lineage: Eukaryota; Metazoa; Chordata; Mammalia; Rodentia; Octodontidae. The record is from RNAcentral.